AUUGAACGCUGGCGGCAGGCUUAACACAUGCAAGUCGAGGGGAGCGUCAGACGGGUGAGUAACGCGGGGGAACGUACCUUUUGGUUCGGAACAACACAGGGAAACUUGUGCUAAUACCGGAUACCGAAAGAUCGGCCCGCGUCUGAUUAGCUAGUUGGUAGGGUAAUGGCCUACGAAGGCGACGAUCAGUAGCUGGUCUGCGAGGAUGGUCAGCCACAUUGGGACUGAGACACGGCCCAAACUCCUACGGGAGGCAUCAGUGGGGAAUAUUGGACAAUGGGGGAGACCCUGAGCCAGCCAUGCCGUGUGAGGGAUGAAUGUUCUAUGUAUGUAAAGAGCUUUGGUGCGGGAAGCGGUACCGCAAGAAUAAGCCCCGGCUAACUUCGUGCCAGCAGCCGCGGUAAUAC
Molecule: ribosomal RNA, 407 nt
Filed under: uncultured bacterium
Lineage: Bacteria
Description: partial 16S ribosomal RNA
Rfam family: Bacterial small subunit ribosomal RNA
Source: RNAcentral